AUGUACAUGCAUACGACAUAGUGUUAAUGCAUCGGAUCCCAUUAGAACUACAUAGUUAAGCGUGCUCGGGCUAGAGUAGUAAUGGGAUGGGUGAUCACCCAUGAAGUCCUAGUAUUUUACAUG
Non-coding RNA from Picea glauca (white spruce), 123 nucleotides. NCBI's taxonomy places the organism in Eukaryota, Viridiplantae, Streptophyta, Pinopsida, Pinales, Pinaceae. The record is from Rfam.